GCUUGAACUUGAAUGCACUAAAACUACAACAAUGGCUGUUGUCCAAGGCAUGGUGGAUUGGAAGAAAAGACCUAUUGACAAAGACAUACAUGGUGGAAAUAGAGUUGCAAGAUUCAUCUACUUUUUGGAGUUGGUGACGAGCAUAACGUUCGUAGCAACAAUAUUCAACAUCAUCACAUAUUUUCUCCAAACCAUGCACAUGGAUGUAGCGAUGGCGACAACAACCGUGACAAAUAUCAUGGGUACAUCUUGCGCAUUUGCUUUGGUCGGAGGCUUCUUUUCAGAUUCAUAGAUAACUAGGUUUACUGCAAUACUGAUAUUUGCUCCCUUUGAGUUCUUGGGGUUUGGAUUAUUACUAGCUUUGCAAGCACAUUUUCCUUCACUUCAACCACCACCAUGCGACAUGUCUGCAAUAUCUAGCAGCUGCAAACAAGUUACCGGUUACAGAGCCGCUAUUCUUCACAUAGGGCUAUACCUAUACACCUUUGGAGAAGGUUGUCUACGAGCGAACCUUGUGUCUUUAGGUGGAGAUCAGUUUGAUGACGACGACCCCAAAGAGUUAAAACAAAAGUCUAGUUUUUUCAAUUGGUUCACUCACAUUCUACAUGUCACUUGGAUCUAUUGUAAGUCUAACACUACUAGUAUGGAUUCAAGACAAAAAAGGAUGGGAUCUUGCUUUCACUGUAUCAGCUGGUUUUAUUUUAGUAGGGGUUGUUGUGAUCGCUUCUGGUUUCUCAUUUUUCCGCAACAUAAUACCAACUGGCAGCCCUUUAACUAGGAUGUUGCAGGUUCCGGUGGCUUCAUAUCGAAAACGCAAUCUUCAGUUUCCGGAAAAUGAUGAGGAAAUUUACUUAGAAUAUAACAAGGAAGAGAAUGUUGGGGAAGUACUCCCACG
Papaver somniferum (opium poppy) is the source of this 895-nucleotide long non-coding RNA. RefSeq lists it as uncharacterized. The transcript has 4 exons. Lineage: Eukaryota; Viridiplantae; Streptophyta; Magnoliopsida; Ranunculales; Papaveraceae. The record is from RefSeq and is a predicted model, not a curated record.